UACCCGCUGGAAUUAAGCAUAUUAAUAAGCGGAGGAAAAGAAACUAACUAGGAUUCCCUCAGUAAGGGCGACUGAAGCGGGAAGAGCUCAUAAUGUGAAUCGGUGUUUCGGCACUGAAUUGUGGUCUAUAGAUUCUCACACUACUGGCUGGGUUAAGUCCCUUGGAAUAGGGCGGCAUAGAGGGUGAGACCCCCGUGAACCUGGACUUUGGAGUGAGUUUCAACGAGUCGAGUUGUUUGGGAUUGCAGCUCUAAGUGGGAGGUAAAUUCCUUCUAAAGCUAAAUAUGGGCGAGACACCGAUAGUGUACAAGUACCGUGAGGGAAAGAUGCAAAGAACUUUGAAAAGAGAGUUAAAGAGUACCUGAAAUUGCUGAAAGGGAAGCGAAGGAAACUAGUGAUGGUCCUGUAGCAUUUUCUUGUUGGCUUGCUGGCAAGACGCUGUUACGGACCGCGCAACACUUGGUUGAGAUGGAUCCAGUACCUCAUUUGUCGUUGACAGUUGAUGGAAAGGUUUGACUUGACUGAGCUGGGGCUAAAUGGUUUUCUUCUCCCCGUCUUGAAACACGGGAACCAAGGA
This 577-nucleotide ribosomal RNA is filed under the name Gomphonema acuminatum. RNAcentral describes it as "eukaryotic LSU rRNA". It matches the Rfam family "Eukaryotic large subunit ribosomal RNA", at positions 22 to 672 of the family's 3401-position model. Lineage: Eukaryota; Bacillariophyta; Bacillariophyceae; Cymbellales; Gomphonemataceae. The record is from RNAcentral.